AGCAGCCCCGGAGCCCGCGGGGAGGGCGGUGCGACCGCCGACCCCGCCCACGGCCUUCACGCCGCCCUGGGGAUGUACCCGGCGGGCGGAAGCCCAGUCCGUCCUCGGGGCCGCGCGUCAGAGAAAAGAACUGAAAUGUUAGCCCAGAUUAUUGGCUCUGAAAGAGCCAGAAAACUCUUUGAACUGAAGUGACCGUCUCAUUUCAGAGUUUGGUCCAGUGUUCCCGGUCAAGCAACCGUCCUGAGAUGCUGUCCUCCAAAUGGUUACCCACGCUCUCUCCAUUGUGGUUCUCCACUCAGCCAGCAGAUGGGGAAAGAAAAAAGAUCACUAGAGAAGAGGCAGGCUUGAAAGGGGAGACAUCGAUUUGGUCCACAUUCCAUUGGCUAGAACUCAGUCAUAUGGCCAAGGAGGCUGGAAAAUGUAGUGAGCUGUGUGCCCAGGAAAAAAAGGAAACACUAGCAAAUAUUCAACUAGUUUUUGCCAGCUGCAAUGGGAGCUAAAUGUUUUCUGGCUUAUUUCCAAUGAAAAUAGAGUGCCUCAGUCCCUGUAUUCUAAGAAAGACAGAGAUUCACCUUGAGUCACAGGCACAUCCCUGAACAGACGAACUGACCAGGGGACUGCAAUGGGCUGAUGGCCUCAAGCCCACCAGAGUCCACCUGUUGAACGAGAGGUGGGGUCGGCUUUCCCUGAAAUGUCUGGACUGCAUGGGAAAGAGAUUCACAGCAGCUAAAUGUACUCAGGACUCUCCGAUUACCACUGUCUUUCCAAUUUGGGACCUGGCUGUCAUCAAUCCAGGGAAAGAUAUUCAGGAAACUUUCCCUUUAAGGUUAGAAGUGCUUUGAAAUCUAGAGCAUAUUCCUGAAACACCAUCGUGUUUCUGGAACAGACCUGUUCAGUGAAGUUUCCCACCCUUCACUACAAGCCCUAAGUGAUGACAGCCCAGUGGGGGUGUGGGGAGAGAGAGAGAGGAUGUACAGAAGAGGGACAGGCAUUCAGAGACAGAAUACUGGUGUUUUGGUCUCUGUUUCCGCACUCCAGCCAGGGGGCGCUUCAGAGUAGAGAUCACCAUCUUUUAAACCUGUCAAGCCUGGACACUACACAUGUGUGCUCAGAGCAAGGCACCAAUUCAACAAACAUUUUAUUUAGGGCUUAUCAUAUUCCAGGCUCUGUUGUUAGGGAAAGCAUCCCCCAGUGAAAGGAUCAACAUAUGGAAAUAAUUUAAAUAUCUAUCUAUCUAUCUAAUGACUAUUAGAAAAACCACAGAAUUAUCUUAAAAGAUGAGCUAGAAUCAUAUGUAUUGACAGGGAAGGAUACUCGAGACUUAUGUUGAGGGGAAAAAGUUUACUAACAGUAACACAGUCUGUAUAGUAUGGUCCCUGUUUUGAUUGUUUUUAAAGUAUAGAUAAAUGAUCAGAGUUGGAUUUACGGCAAGGCUAAGGCUCAGAAGCUCUCACUUGCAGAGAUCUUGUUCAAAACUCUGAACUUAAUUUUGUAUUUUUCAUAAAGAGGGUCUCCAAAAAAGCAUAAGUAUGAGGUCAAAACCUGAAUCAUUCCCUGAUAUUUAUAUACAUGACCAACUUUAUGGCCAACCGUGGUUAUCUCAGGCAGUUGGAAUGCAGAGACUUUCUCUUUUCUAUCAUCCCAAAGAAUGCCUCCUGAAAUUCCUUUAUAGCCAUCCCUUCUCUUACCGGUAACCCCUGGCCAGCCCUCCCUGUGUUUCUACACCUAUCUCUGAGUGAGAUAACUCUUGGGCUUUGUAAACAGAAGUCCAUUAUUCAAAUAGUAGAUACUAUCUCUACCCUUUGUCCCAGCCGACCUAUGGGACACCCUCUCUCAUCAUCUUCCUCCAAGUUCUGCUUUUCCCUGUUUCCCAGUGACCAGUAUCAUGACCUUCCACUUCAUUCCCUUUAACCAAUAUUCCCUUAAUCUCAUAUUGUCUGUUUCUCUCCCACUCUGCUCAUUUUCUGACAAAAAGCAAAGACCAAAAAUUACAUAUAUGUGUUUCUAGAACAGAGACUUUAUUUCUCACUAGUGAUAAAAAUUUUCUAGCACAAUAAAUAUGCCUAAAAUCUACUUAAAACUUAAGACAAAUAAAAAUAGCUAGUAAAGUCCAUAAAACCAACAGCAGUGCUUUAAUUAGAUUAUCGUGCUUUUUUGCAUAUGUUUUCCUUAUGUGGUAAUGUUUGGUGCCCAGAGAGGCUUAGGGCUAUUUACUGCUGUCUAAAAUUGGCUUUUUGGACCAGCUACACUUCCUUAAGCAUCUUCACAUUUUUUUUAUUUUGCAUCACAAAUCAAAAAUGCUACAUUCAGCCAGUAGUUCAGUGCAAUUAGUAGACUGUAAACUAUUUGAUCAUCAUGGAAUCAGUGCAUUAGUUAUCUGUGAUUAAACUUAAUUUAUGUGAAUUGAAUAUGCAAGAAAUAUAAUUUAACUGUACCCUGUAUUAGUUCAAAUUAAGUUCAACUGCAUAUAAUAGUUAGCUGCUUUCUCUUGCAAAGGGAUUUUACAAAUACUAGGCAAUUUGGGGUUGCCGUGGCCAGGUGUCCCAAAUUCUUUAAGAACUCAAUCUCCUUCUGGCUGUCAGCUCUUAUAAUCUCUAAAGUGUGGCCCUGGUAUUCAUGGUCUAGGAAGGUAACUGGCUCUCCAGCCAUCUCAUCUAUGUUCCAGGCUGGCAACAGAUGAGGAAGAAUAAACACAUAAACACUUAAUAAGGAGGCUUCACCCAGAAAUGCUGCACAGUAUUCUCACACCCCUAUGGCAAAUACCCCAACAUCUGACUCAGUGAACUGUUCCUGAGAAUAGGAAAUGUCAUCUUUUAACUGGACUGCAAUGCACCAACUAAAAAUUUGGGAUCUCUUACUAAAGGAAAAGGGGAGAUUAGGUUGAGUGAAGAAAUUUGCAUUCCCUGCCGCGGUCUUAACAUAAAUAAUAUGAUGAUUUAAAGAUGUUAUAUCUCUUCAUAAUACUUUGAAUUCUGUUAAAAGAUAAAGCACAUAAAAACCUUAAUAAAAGUAAAACCUAGUUCAAUCAGUAUAGUGAAUCAUCAGAAUUUAAAUAGAUUCAUAGUGUCAGCAGUGCACAGAUGGGCUGCAUUUGAGCAGAGGUUGUUUGGAAGGAUGCAGAAUACUCAGGAAGCAACCACUUCUUUUCCCUGUCAUUGGGAAACGGGUAAAAGCAGAACUUGGAGGAAGAUGAUGAGAGAGGGUGUCUUAUGGGCUGGCUGGGACAUAGGGUAGAGAUAGUAUCUACUCUUUGAACAGUCGUGGUCAUGAAGAUCUGGAAAGUGCAUAUCAGAUCUGCGUGUUUGACUGUGGAAUUCAGUGCUGGAGGACAGAAAGAAGCAGAAGGUAAGGUUCCUGUCCCAAAAGGCGUUUCCAUUUAGGCUGGGAAACAAGUUCAAUAAAUCCUUCAACUUUUCAUGUAUUCAGUAUACAAGAGCUCUCAAUACAGUGAUAGAAGACAAUCCACAAGUCGGUGUGUGAUUUUUUUUUUCCAGUCAAAUGCAUAGACGAUUGGUGCUGUAAGUGAUUGCAUGUGUUCUGCUGAUGAGGCAGUAAGAGUGUAACUAAAGGAAGAAGAGGUUUGAAAAGGAGUGGGUAAGGAAAUCCAGGUUGCAGAUUGGGGAGUUAACAUUUAUUGAGCUCCGCUCUGUGUCAGGCACUUUGUCAGGUGCUUUAUGUAAUCUGUGGGAUAAUUACUGUUAUUCCAUUUUUCAGAUGAGGAGUCUGAGGCUCACAUCAGUAAUUUCUUGCGGUUGAGCAGCCAGCCAGGAGAGAGAGCAGAAUUUGAAUGCGGGUCUGUCCCAAAAUAUAUGCUGUUUCCAUUACAGAAUUCCACCCCGAUAGGAGUUGGGGUGGGAUAGUGUUGUAUAAAUGUGUUGUCAUCCAAGCCUCACUAGCUGGGAGGUUCUGGAUGAGGUCACAUUUAUAUAUUCAGAUUUCACUAGCUCAAAGUCUGUAUCACUCAUUUAAGAAUUCUGAUUUUCACCCAGUGAAUCCAUCUGCACUACUACCCGCAUUGGCCUCUUCCAUCUGGGAAAACUCGCCCUCACUGACCUUGACUGCUCCAUGCAGAACCCCCCCACCCCACCAUGAUUCUCUCGGUCCUGAGAGUUUAGCAGUUUCUUUUACUGUCAGAAGCCACAGUGAUUCCAUGACAUAGCAGGGUUGAUUGAUUCACUCGAAUAUUUAUCAGGGGCUCUGUGAGAUGGAGAGGUGAGCUAGAGCUCUGAACCUGGCUCUGACACAGAGGCAGGUGUUGGUUUAGUGAGAGAAGGCCAACAAUAAGCAUGAUAAUUGCUAGUUGUGGUAAAUGCUAUUAAGACAAUAAACGGAGCAGUGUGAUAGGAAAUAAUGACAGGCAGUGGGAGGGUGUUAGGGCUUCGAAGGAGACAGCCAUUUCUUUUCAUAAAGCCAGUUUAUUUUUUUUUAAUUCCUUGGAGCAAUCAUUCAUAUCAGGGUAGCUGGGCCAAUAUCAAAUGAAGCAGCAGUUAUGAUGCCUUCCCUGGAGCCAUGAUUCCCCUCUAAAUCCCACGCACAGUGCAGAAUCCUACCAACCUCUCCUUCGUCCCUCCAAUGGUUCUGAAACUUGGCUAAGUUAUCAGAAUCACUGGGAGAUCUUUCAGAAUACCUGGGCUCUGCCUUUAGAGACUAGAGUUAGUUGGUUUGGGAUGGGUUUCAGGCAUGAAUUUUAAAGUUCCCAGGUGAUUCUAGUAUGUAGGCAAGAGUGCAAAUCACUGGUCAGAGCAGUGGUUCUCAAACCACUUGAGCAUCAGAAUUGUCUAGAGGGACUAGUCAUUGCUCUGCUCCCUCGUUUCCAUUGCCUGGCCCAGGGUCAUGGCCUGGGUGCCUCAAGAAACUCACAGUGGCUCCUGAUUUUACGAUGUGUGGUUCUCAUACUUAGGGCAGUGACUCUCAACCUUUAAUGGGCAUAUGAAUCAUCUGGGGAACUUGUUAAAAUGCAGUUCUGAGUGGUUGCCAGUGGCUGGGGCGGGGAUGGGGCGAGAAGGAGAUGGGGAGUUGUUUUCAUGGGUACAGAGUUUCAGUUUCGCAGGAUGGAAAGGCUUCUGGGAAUUGGUUGCACAAAAAUGUGAAUAUACUUAACACUACUGAACUGUACACUUUAAAAAACAGUUAAGAUGGUAAAUUCUGUGUUGUGCAUAUUUUAGCGCAGUUAUUUAAAAGUGCAGAUUCAGUAGGUCUGGGGCAGGGCCUGAGUGUCUGCAAUUCUUAUAAGCUCCGAAGUGGUGCCGGUGGGAACGCAGUUGCAGAAGCAAGGGUUCAGGGUGCAUCAGGAUUACCUGGGGGACUUGGUUUAAUGUAGGCUCUUCGUCCUCAUCUCCGAGAUCUUGAUUCAGCAUGCCUGAGAUGGGGCUCAGGUGUAGCUGCUCUAAACACCCCACUUUAAGAAAUAAUCUUCCAUGGGCUUCACUUCCAAAGGUGAGAUAGAUUAUUUACAGAUGCAAAACUGAGUCUGGCAUUUUAUUUCAUGUUUUAAAUAAGAGUUUCUGUAUGUUUCACAGCUUUAUAAAGUGCAGUGGCUUCCCUAGUUCAGCGGGCUAGGAAUGGAAAAGACGUUCAGCUGCAAGAGGGACUGGCCCCCAGAGUCCAGGGUCGUUGGCAGGCGCUGGGUUGAUGACUGUCAUGGAGCUCCUGGAAUAGCGUGUCCCCCAGCUGAUCAAACCUCAGGGCCGCGCAGUAUGCGAUAUCUGACUGGGUGUUCAGCAGGCCUCCUGUCCUAUCACCAAACCGCCCCCACCCCAGCCCAUCUCCAGUUCAGAGCAAGACCCAACAGCCAACCAACCCAGAUCUACUCCUCGCAAGUCUAUGGAGCCCCAGAAUCAUGCAGAGCUCUAACAGUUACUAUUAACGUGCGUUUGCUCUAUGGCAGCACCUUAGCCCCAUCAUCUCAUGUAAUCCUCUCAACACCCUGUGAGGUAUUUGCUGUUAUUAUCACCAUUUUAUGGGUGAGGAAAUAGAGACUCUGCUAAGUUGAGUAACUUACCCAAAGUCAUAGGGCCAGUGUGUGACAGAGCCAGGAUUUGAAACCAGCUUUGUCUGGCAAAGAUGCCCAGGCUCUUUACACUGUGGAGAAUGGCUUUCCAUGGGCCUGGAAUUUGGGCCAAGAGUGGACUGCAGCUCAGGAGCACUAAUUAGCAUAAGAGCUGUAACCUGUAUGCCUACGGAGAGCCCUCCAUUCAAAGUACGCUUCUCCACGUGGUGAUCAUUUUGCGUUGUACAAAAAUACCAGGGCACUCUGUUGUACACCUGAAACUAAUAUUGUAAGUCAAUUAUACUUUAAUAAACAAACGAAAACAAAGUGAAACUAAUACAAUAUUGUAAGUCAAUUAUGCUUCAAUAAACAAAACCAAAGUGAACUAAUAUAACAUUGUAAGUUGAUUAUACUUCAAUAAACAAACAACAAAGUACACUGACUGUCUUCAACACAUGGCUGUCCACAGCAGAAUUUCUAUUUAGAGUAAUUCGCGCUAAGGGGUAAAUAAGGCUUAGCCUUCCUAGCAAGUAAUGUUUUGAAAAGAGUAACUUAUUAACCUAAAUGGGUCCAUGGUUGAUAGAAAGUGUAAGAGAAAUUCAUGGGGGUGUGCUGGGGGUUGAGUAUGGAGGGACUUUCCUUUAGAUAAGAUCUUUGAAACUGAAAGGGACCAUAUGUCAUCUGGUCCCAUUUUUCGUUGUUUAAAGAUGAGUUUACAUAAAGCAAAUUGACGAUCGAACAUGUUGGUUUGUUUUUUUUUUUAAUUUAUUUUUGGCUGUGCUGGGUCUUCGUUUCUGUGCGAGGGCUUUCUCUAGUUGCGACGAGC
Molecule: non-coding RNA, 6815 nt
Organism: Delphinapterus leucas (beluga whale)
Lineage: Eukaryota; Metazoa; Chordata; Mammalia; Artiodactyla; Monodontidae
Source: RefSeq, a predicted model, not a curated record